UACGGGGGGUGCAAGCGUUAUUCGGAUUUAUUGGGCGUAAAGAGCGCGUAGGCGGUUUAUCAAGUCAGAUGUGAAAGCCCUGGGCUCAACCUGGGAAGUGCAUUUGAAACUAGUAGACUUGAGUAUGGGAGAGGGGAGUGGAAUUCCUGGUGUAGAGGUGAAAUUCGUAGAUAUCAGGAGGAACACCGGUGGCGAAGGCGACUUCCUGGACCAAUACUGACGCUGAGGCGCGAAGGCGUGGGGAGCAAACAGGAUUAGAUACCCGCGUAGUCC
RNAcentral lists this ribosomal RNA (273 nucleotides) under uncultured bacterium. RNAcentral describes it as "partial 16S ribosomal RNA". It matches the Rfam family "Bacterial small subunit ribosomal RNA", at positions 524 to 796 of the family's 1533-position model. The record is from RNAcentral.